Austrofundulus limnaeus is the source of this 631-nucleotide long non-coding RNA. RefSeq lists it as uncharacterized. The transcript has 3 exons. The record is from RefSeq and is a predicted model, not a curated record. NCBI's taxonomy places the organism in Eukaryota, Metazoa, Chordata, Actinopteri, Cyprinodontiformes, Rivulidae.
CUGAUGGUAGUCUUUGUUAGGUUAUGGUGUGUUACUGAUGGUAGUCUUUGUAAGGUUACGGUGUGUUACUGAUGGUAGUCUUUGUUAGGUUAUGGUGCAUUACUGAAGGUGGUCUUUGUUAUGUUAUGGGGUGUUGCUGAUGGUAGUCUUUGUUAGUUUAUGGUGUGUUACUGAUGGUAGUCUUUGUUAGGUUACGGUGUGUUACUGAUGGUAGUCUUUGUUAGGUUAUGGUGUGUUACUGAUGGUAGUCUUUGUUAGGUUAUGGUGUGUUACUGAUGGUAGUCUUUGUUAGGUUAUGGUGUGUUACUGAUGGUAGUCUUUGUUAGGUUAUGGUGUGUUACUGAUGGUAGUCUUUGUUAUGGUGUGUUACUGAUGGUAGUCUUUGUUAGGUUAUGGUGUGUUACUGAUGGUAGUCUUUGUUAGGUUAUGGUGUGUUACUGAUGGUAGUGUUUGUUAGGUUACGGUGUGUUACUGAUGGUAGUCUUUGUUACGUUAUGGUGUGUUACUUACUGCCUUUGUUAAGUUAUGGUGUUAGGUUAUGGUGUGUUACUGAUGGUAGUCUUUGCUACGUUAUGGUGUGUUACUGAUGGUAGUCUUUGUUAGGUUAUGGUGUGUUACUGAUGGUAGUCUU